CCUACGGGGUGCUGCAGUGGGGAAUAUUGGACAAUGGGCGAAAGCCUGAUCCAGCCAUGCCGCGUGUGUGAAGAAGGCCUUCGGGUUGUAAAGCACUUUCAGUGGGGAAGAAAGCCUCGGGGCUAAUACCCUCGAGGAAGGACAUCACCCACAGAAGAAGCACCGGCUAACUCCGUGCCAGCAGCCGCGGUAAUACGGAGGGUGCGAGCGUUAAUCGGAAUUACUGGGCGUAAAGCGCGCGUAGGCGGUCUGAUAAGCCGGUUGUGAAAGCCCCGGGCUCAACCUGGGAACGGCAUCCGGAACUGUCAGGCUAGAGUGCAGGAGAGGAAGGUAGAAUUCCCGGUGUAGCGGUGAAAUGCGUAGAGAUCGGGAGGAAUACCAGUGGCGAAGGCGGCCUUCUGGACUGACACUGACGCUGAGGUGCGAAAGCGUGGGUAGCAAACAGGAUUAGAUACCCGAGUAGUC
This 465-nucleotide ribosomal RNA is filed under the name Vreelandella stevensii. RNAcentral describes it as "partial 16S ribosomal RNA". It matches the Rfam family "Bacterial small subunit ribosomal RNA", at positions 338 to 795 of the family's 1533-position model. The record is from RNAcentral. Lineage: Bacteria; Pseudomonadati; Pseudomonadota; Gammaproteobacteria; Oceanospirillales; Halomonadaceae.